GAUGAAGAACGUAGCGAAAUGCGAUACUUGGUGUGAAUUGCAGAAUCCCGUGAACCAUCGAGUCUUUGAACGCAAGUUGCGCCCGAAGCCAUUAGGCCGAGGGCACGCCUGCCUGGGCGUCACACGUCGUUGCCCCCCCAUCUACUCCUUCGGGAUUGCGGGGGGCGGAUGAUGGCCUCCCGUGCGCCUAGUCGCGCGGUUGGCAUAAUAGCCAAGUCCUCGGCGACGCACGCCACGACAAUCGGUGGUUGCGAAACCUCGGUUGCCCGUCGUGUGCGGUCGUCGCGCAUCGAGGGCUCGAAAAAAUUGCCGGGCUCCGGCUCGGCUUUCAACGCGACCCCAGGUCAGGCGGGGUUACCCGCUGAAUUUAAGCAUAUCAAUAAGCGGAGGA
This 391-nucleotide unclassified non-coding RNA is filed under the name soil metagenome. Its description in RNAcentral is "partial contains 5.8S ribosomal RNA, internal transcribed spacer 2, and large subunit ribosomal RNA". The stretch from base 1 to 122 matches the Rfam family "5.8S ribosomal RNA", at positions 35 to 154 of the family's 154-position model. The record is from RNAcentral.